GGGGAAUAUUGGACAAUGGGGGAAACCCUGAUCCAGCAACGCCGCGUGGAGGAUGAAGGUCUUCGGAUUGUAAACUCCUGUUAGGGGGGACGAAGGGAUGUCGGCGAACAGUCGGCAAACUUGACGGUACCCCCAGAGGAAGCCCCGGCUAACUCUGUGCCAGCAGCCGCGGUAAUACAGAGGGGGCAAGCGUUAUUCGGAAUUAUUGGGCGUAAAGGGCGCGUAGGCGGCCUUGUAAGUCUUGGGUGAAAUCCCUCAGCUCAACUGAGGAACUGCCUCGGAUACUGCAAGGCUUGAGGCCGGGAGAGGGUAGUGGAAUUCCCAGUGUAGCGGUGAAAUGCGUAGAUAUUGGGAGGAACACCGGUGGCGAAGGCGGCUACCUGGACCGGUUCUGACGCUGAUGCGCGAAAGCGUGGGUAGCAAAC
This 425-nucleotide ribosomal RNA is filed under the name uncultured bacterium. RNAcentral's name for it is "bacterial SSU rRNA". It matches the Rfam family "Bacterial small subunit ribosomal RNA", at positions 356 to 773 of the family's 1533-position model. The record is from RNAcentral.